UUGCAAUGAUGAAUCAGAUUCCAAAGCCAUUCGUAGUUUCCACCAGAGGUCGAAAGGCUUGUGAUGGUGCAAGUACCUUCCUUGGAUGUCUGAGCGA
Molecule: small nucleolar RNA, 97 nt
Organism: Camarhynchus parvulus
Lineage: Eukaryota; Metazoa; Chordata; Aves; Passeriformes; Thraupidae
Gene: SNORD14
Rfam family: Small nucleolar RNA SNORD14
About the family: U14 small nucleolar RNA (U14 snoRNA) is required for early cleavages of eukaryotic precursor rRNAs. In yeasts, this molecule possess a stem-loop region (known as the Y-domain) which is essential for function.
Source: Ensembl